RNAcentral lists this ribosomal RNA (253 nucleotides) under uncultured bacterium. Its description in RNAcentral is "partial 16S ribosomal RNA". It matches the Rfam family "Bacterial small subunit ribosomal RNA", at positions 524 to 776 of the family's 1533-position model. The record is from RNAcentral.
UACGGAGGGGGCAAGCGUUAUUCGGAAUCAUUGGGCGUAAAGGGCGCGUAGGCGGCUUGGCAAGUCGAAGGUGAAAUCCCCCGGCUCAACUGGGGAACUGCCUUCGAAACUGCCAGGCUAGAGUCCGGGAGAGGGUAGUGGAAUUCCCAGUGUAGCGGUGAAAUGCGUAGAUACUGGGAGGAACACCAGUGGCGAAGGCGGCUACCUGGACCGGUACUGCCGCUGAGGCGCGAAAGCGCGGGGAGCAAACAGG